This 682-nucleotide long non-coding RNA is filed under the name Polistes fuscatus (common paper wasp). RNAcentral's name for it is "uncharacterized LOC122526273". The record is from RNAcentral. Lineage: Eukaryota; Metazoa; Arthropoda; Insecta; Hymenoptera; Vespidae.
UACAUAUACCAUAAUCCAGUCUCGCGUUAUCCCUACUCCUUGGAACAAAACCGACGGACACACUCUCCCGCGGCUUUCUUCGAACGGGCUGCACCGCGUGUCAGUUCGAAAGCAACCGCGGACAAUAACCGACACUCGGAGCCCGGGAUAUUCUCUUCUUACUCUUAUAGAAAUCCUAUUUUGUUAUUAUUAAUAUUUUUGAUUCUUAUUUUCACGGUGGAAAAUUUUCUUAGAAGGAGAAAAAAAUCAUCGUUGAGGCGCGUAAAUAGUUUCGUACAAACGCGACGGUAAUUUGGAAAGAAGAAGAAAAAAAAAACAAAUGUAAAAAUAAAAUAUUAGAAAAUAAAUCCGAGAAAAGAUUCGCGCAGUGUGUCUCUAAAGUGUGUUCACGAAACGAAGAAAAAAAGGGAAUUAAACUAUAAGGAAUUUUUAUCUCCUUAAAGGUGUUUGUAAAUGAACUUAAUAGCAAAGUGAUCGUGUUUAAUGUUGAAUCAAAGAAAAGGGAGAAUUAUUUGGAUAAACAAGGCUUAUCAAACAUUAUCGCAUCGGUGAUAAACACCUGAACAACUACGACGACGACAACUACGACAACUUAAACGUAUGUUUAAUUAACGAUGUUUCCUUUACGUAUAAUACGAACGAUUAUUAUAACGUGAAUGUGUGUUGUGUUGUGUUUACCGAA